GAUGAACGCUGGCGGCGUGCCUAAUACAUGCAAGUCGAGCGAACAGACGAGGAGCUUGCUCCUCUGACGUUAGCGGCGGACGGGUGAGUAACACGUGGAUAACCUACCUAUAAGACUGGGAUAACUUCGGGAAACCGGAGCUAAUACCGGAUAAUAUAUUGAACCGCAUGGUUCAAUAGUGAAAGACGGUUUUGCUGUCACUUAUAGAUGGAUCCGCGCCGCAUUAGCUAGUUGGUAAGGUAACGGCUUACCAAGGCGACGAUGCGUAGCCGACCUGAGAGGGUGAUCGGCCACAAUGGAACUGAGACACGGUCCAGACUCCUACGGGAGGCAGCAGUAGGGAAUCUUCCGCAAUGGGCGAAAGCCUGACGGAGCAACGCCGCGUGAGUGAUGAAGGUCUUCGGAUCGUAAAACUCUGUUAUUAGGGAAGAACAAAUGUGUAAGUAACUAUGCACGUCUUGACGGUACCUAAUCAGAAAGCCACGGCUAACUAC
Molecule: ribosomal RNA, 494 nt
Filed under: uncultured bacterium
Lineage: Bacteria
Description: partial 16S ribosomal RNA
Rfam family: Bacterial small subunit ribosomal RNA
Source: RNAcentral